CUUAGAAUGUUAAAUAGCAGGCCUAUGGGACUCAUUUCAAGUUGUCUUACGAAAAAAACUUAAGAACAAUGUGUAACUACAGCUACAUUCUUAUUUCUAAGUAACAUAUAAGAACAUACUUGCUCCUCUCCCUUCUUUCCAUAACAAAACUAAAGUAUAGGUGGCUCAGCCUAAGCAUCCAAUUUAUUAGGCUAUUUAAAUGAUAUAUUCACAGUAUACAGAACAGGG
This 228-nucleotide long non-coding RNA is filed under the name Homo sapiens (human). RNAcentral's name for it is "HSALNT0066493". Lineage: Eukaryota; Metazoa; Chordata; Mammalia; Primates; Hominidae. The record is from RNAcentral.